This 444-nucleotide ribosomal RNA is filed under the name uncultured bacterium. RNAcentral's name for it is "partial 16S ribosomal RNA". It matches the Rfam family "Bacterial small subunit ribosomal RNA", at positions 354 to 796 of the family's 1533-position model. The record is from RNAcentral.
GUAAGGAAUAUUGGACAAUGGACGCAAGUCUGAUCCAGCCAUGCCGCGUGAAGGAUUAAGGUCCUCUGGAUUGUAAACUUCUUUUAUAAGGGACGAAAAAGGCUUUUCUAAGUCGUCUGACGGUACCUUAUGAAUAAGCACCGGCUAACUCCGUGCCAGCAGCCGCGGUAAUACGGAGGGUGCAAGCGUUAUCCGGAUUCACUGGGUUUAAAGGGUGCGUAGGCGGGCAGGUAAGUCAGUGGUGAAAUCCUAGAGCUUAACUCUAGAACUGCCAUUGAUACUAUCUGUCUUGAAUAUUGUGGAGGUAAGCGGAAUAUGUCAUGUAGCGGUGAAAUGCUUAGAUAUGACAUAGAACACCUAUUGCGAAGGCAGCUUACUACGCAUAUAUUGACGCUGAGGCACGAAAGCGUGGGGAUCAAACAGGAUUAGAAACCCUUGUAGUCC